GAUGAACGCUGGCGGCGUGCCUAAUACAUGCAAGUCGAGCGAACAGACGAGGAGCUUGCUCCUCUGAUGUUAGCGGCGGACGGGUGAGUAACACGUGGAUAACCUACCUAUAAGACUGGGAUAACUUCGGGAAACCGGAGCUAAUACCGGAUAACAUGUUGAACCGCAUGGUUCAACAGUGAAAGACGGUCUUGCUGUCACUUAUAGAUGGAUCCGCGCCGCAUUAGCUAGUUGGUAAGGUAACGGCUUACCAAGGCAACGAUGCGUAGCCGACCUGAGAGGGUGAUCGGCCACACUGGAACUGAGACACGGUCCAGACUCCUACGGGAGGAAGCAGUAGGGAAUCUUCCGCAAUGGGCGAAAGCCUGACGGAGCAACGCCGCGUGAGUGAAGAAGGUCUUCGGAUCGUAAAACUCUGUUAUUAGGGAAGAACAAAUGUGUAAGUAACUAUGCACGUCUUGACGGUACCUAAUCAGAAAGCCACGGCUAACUACGUG
RNAcentral lists this ribosomal RNA (497 nucleotides) under uncultured bacterium. Its description in RNAcentral is "partial 16S ribosomal RNA". It matches the Rfam family "Bacterial small subunit ribosomal RNA", at positions 28 to 507 of the family's 1533-position model. The record is from RNAcentral.